CACCGCCCGUCACGUCAUGGAAGCUGGCAACACCUGAAGUCCAUGGGCUAACCCGCAAGGGAGGCAGUGGCCGAGGGUGGGGCUGGUGACUGGGACG
This 97-nucleotide ribosomal RNA is filed under the name uncultured bacterium. RNAcentral's name for it is "partial 16S ribosomal RNA". It matches the Rfam family "Bacterial small subunit ribosomal RNA", at positions 1388 to 1482 of the family's 1533-position model. The record is from RNAcentral.